Molecule: non-coding RNA, 67 nt
Organism: Aphidius gifuensis
Lineage: Eukaryota; Metazoa; Arthropoda; Insecta; Hymenoptera; Braconidae
Source: the annotation of a RefSeq genome assembly
AAAAUUUUAAGUUAAUUAUAAACUAUAAAUUUUCAAAGUUUACAAUAUAAAUUUUUUAUAAAUUUUA